This 492-nucleotide ribosomal RNA is filed under the name uncultured bacterium. RNAcentral describes it as "partial 16S ribosomal RNA". It matches the Rfam family "Bacterial small subunit ribosomal RNA", at positions 30 to 507 of the family's 1533-position model. The record is from RNAcentral.
AGUGAACGCUGGCGGCAUGCCUAACACAUGCCAGUCGAACGGCAGCACAGGAAGUGGUUGCUGGUGCGGGGGGGGGGAGGGGGGAGGGUUAGGUAUGCACCGGAAUCUACUUGGGCGUGGGGGAUAAGGAAGGGGGACUAAUGCUGCAAACGCAUACGAGCUACGGGUGAGAGCAGGGGAGCUUCGGAGCUUGCGGGUUUGAAGGAGGCGAUGUCGGAUUAGCUAGUUGGCGGGGUAAAGGCCCACCAAGGCGACGAUCCGUAGCUGGUCUGAGAGGAUGAUCAGCCACACUGGAACUGAGACACGGUCCAGACUCCUACGGGAGGCAGCAGUGGGGAAUAUUGGACAAUGGGCGAAAGCCUGAUCCAGCCAUACCGCGUGGGUGAAGAAGGCCUUCGGGUUGUAAAGCACUUUUGUUGGGAAAGAAAAGCAUCAGGUUAAUACCCCGCGGUUCUGACGGUACCCAAAGAAUAAGCACCGGCUAACUACGUG